Small nuclear RNA from Zalophus californianus (California sea lion), 108 nucleotides. Lineage: Eukaryota; Metazoa; Chordata; Mammalia; Carnivora; Otariidae. The record is from Ensembl.
GUCCUCGCUUCAGCAGCACAUAUACUAAAAUUGGAAUGAUACAGAGAAGAUCCGUAGGGCCCCUGCACAAGGUUGACACGUGAAACUCUUCAGGGUUUUAACUUUAAA